Molecule: ribosomal RNA, 538 nt
Filed under: uncultured Fidelibacterota bacterium
Lineage: Bacteria; Pseudomonadati; Fidelibacterota
Description: bacterial SSU rRNA
Rfam family: Bacterial small subunit ribosomal RNA
Source: RNAcentral
UAGGGUUCGAUCCUGGCUCAGGACGAACGCUGGCGGCGUGCUUAACACAUGCAAGUCAAGGAGAACGUUUUCUUCGGAAAACUAUUAAACUGGCGAACGGGUGAGUAACGCGUAGACAACCUACCUCAGAGACUGGGAUAACUCCGCGAAAGCGGGGCUAAUACCGGAUGAUGCAGCGGAUCCUUCGGGAUACAGUUGUUAAAGUGGGCUUCGGCUCGCACUUUGAGAUGGGUCUGCGUCCGAUUAGCUUGUUGGUAGGGUAACGGCCUACCAAGGCGAUGAUCGGUAGCUGGUCUGAGAGGAUGAUCAGCCACACUGGGAUUGAGAUACGGCCCAGACUCCUACGGGAGGCAGCAGUGGGGAAUUUUGCGCAAUGGGCGAAAGCCUGACGCAGCAACGCCGCGUGAUCGAUGAAGCUUCUAGGAGCGUAAAGAUCUGUCGUAAGAGAAGAAAAGUUCGGAUGUAAAUAGCAUUCGUUCUAGACGGUACCUUACGAGAAAGCACCGGCUAACUUCGUGCCAGCCGCCGCGGUAAUACA